This 1630-nucleotide long non-coding RNA is filed under the name Harpegnathos saltator (Jerdon's jumping ant). RNAcentral describes it as "uncharacterized LOC112588261, transcript variant X2". The record is from RNAcentral. Lineage: Eukaryota; Metazoa; Arthropoda; Insecta; Hymenoptera; Formicidae.
CUCUCUCUCUUCCUCCCUCCCUCUCACUUGUAGUUUCUCUUUCCCUCCGACGAGCAUACGUUUAUCCUAUAUCAUUCGUUGCAUGCGCGCGCGCGCGCGCGCGCGCGCUACAGUCGACUCGUGUAAUCGAAUGAUGCAGCCAACUUUACGUCGGAAUGUACGGACCAUAAAUCUGAUCAUCUCAACGGACAAUCAAUUGGUCGCAACUUAAUUAAUUCACUGGACAUAUAUAUGGUGCUCGAUCGCAGAUCGUGUCACCGACAACGGACGGCGCGACAAAACGCAAUGGAACGGAACGAUGCGAAACCGAACGGUAUUAUAAAGAGAACGCAAAUCGAUCGCGAUCAACACGUCACGACGAUCGCAUAUCACGCAAUUCAGCACUCCCGCGGCAUUUGUGAUGAGAUUUUUUAUGCAGAUGAACACGCGAAAAAAUGCAGAGCGAUCUCACAAACGACGAUGAAAGUGCUACAAACGUCCGAAACGACGACGCUACGACAUGAAUCAAAUUUGCACAUCAGUCUCAGAGCUGAAAGAUCUUGCGAUCGUAGUGCGAAAGAUGGGUGCCGCCGUACCGGAGAAUCCGGUUCGGGCUGAGCAGAGCCGAUUUGAAGGUUUGGAGCAUAACCUAACCUGGCCGACCUUGACUGCAAGUCGUUUUAGUGAGUGAAAAAUAAAAGAAAAGAUUUAAAAUAAUUUUGUAGCAUCUCGAUGAAUAUGCGAUCGCGAUUUAUCUCGUAUCUCUCCUUUCCGCCUUUUAUAUAAUAAUACAAGCACUGUUGAGAUGUGUUAUAAAAAAUCCGCCAGAGACGUAGUCAUCUCGCUAUUUGCAUCUCUAUUUGAACGGAGAUUUCUGUUUGGAUCGGUUGGAAUUUCAGCAUGUCAGGUAUAUAUAUGAGGUACAUAUCGAUAUUAGGUAUAUCAAUGACAUGUACGUACAACUGAUGUACAAAUGGAAAGUUUAUUAUAUUACUUUGGAAUUGGCCGGGUUGAUAUAGAAGAGAAAUGUUGACUCGAUAAUUUUCUCUCUAUAUGAUUUAUUAUAUAUUCUAUCUUGAUGAUGAUAAUAAUAAUAAUUCUCUCUGACAGUUUUUCUGGAUUUACAUUGCACGAAUUGUACAAAUUUACAAUACGCAUUACAUUAAUACAGCGUAUAUAACUUACUUGCUACUAUGAAUAUUGCGGGAUAUUUCUUUCGACUAGGGAUAUAUAUAUGAUAUAUAUAUCUUUAAUGAAAGAGGACGUGCCACAAUUUUAAAUUUUAUACAGUAUAUAUAUUUCAUAUUUCUCGUUUCAAUUUUAUUCACUUUCACUUAUUUUUUUUUAUUUCACUUAGUUGCCAACCCAAUAGAAGGAAGGGGUAUGCUAGGUUAUUAUAUUUAUAUAAGUGCAUAUGCUUAUAUACUCAUAUGUUCUCAUAAAAGAACAGGAAUAAUACAUACAUGUCUAUUACUAUAACAAGUUAUACACAAGCACAUUUUGCUUCGGUUGACACAAAAUCCAUAUAUAUGAUCACAAACAUAGAUAAGUAUUUUGAUAUACUUCCUUUGAAGGCGUAACAAAACGAUUUGCAUUAAGAUAUAAAUUAUAAGAGAUGGCACUCGCGAUUUAAGUCUCUCAUUGUUCCCUU